AAUUUUGGACAAUGGGGGAAACCCUGAUCCAGCCAUCCCGCGUGUAUGAUGAAGGCCNNNGGGUUNUAAAGUACUCUUGGCAGNGAANAAAAGGUAUCUCCUAAUACGGGAUACUGCUGACGGUAUCUGCAGAAUAAGCACCGGCUAACUACGUGCCAGCAGCCGCGGUAAUACGUAGGGUGCAAGCGUUAAUCGGAAUUACUGGGCGUAAAGCGUGUGUAGGCGGUUCGGAAAGAAAGAUGUGAAAUCCCAGGGCUCAACCUUGGGACUGCAUUUUUAACUGCCGAGCUAGAGGAUGUGAGGGGGGGGUAAGAUUCCACGUGUAGCAGUGAAAUGCGUAAGUAUGUGGAGGGAUACCGAUGGCGAAGGCAGCCCCCUGGGAUAAUACUGACGCUCAGACACGAAAGCGUGGGGAGCAAACAGG
This 424-nucleotide ribosomal RNA is filed under the name uncultured bacterium. Its description in RNAcentral is "partial 16S ribosomal RNA". It matches the Rfam family "Bacterial small subunit ribosomal RNA", at positions 360 to 776 of the family's 1533-position model. The record is from RNAcentral.